UAUUUUUUAUCUCCUAUUAUUUACCAGAUUAGUUGUCUAAUUUUUUCCCUUUUAUGAUGUUGUGAUGUUGCAGGUACAUAAUCUAGAAAUUUCCUCCACCAUCUUCAUGCGGUUUUCCUUGUGUGUGGAAACUCCCAUGGUAUUAUCAGAAAGUAUGACUUGAUGUGGUGCAGACAAUGCUUCCGCAGCAACACUAAGGAGAUUGGAUUAAUUAAGUGAACGAAAAGGCCGGUGCCUCCUUGCUAGCGGAUUUUGUUGAGCAAGCUGCCAUUAGAGAUAAAUGGAUCCCAAGUUGUUAUUUUCUUUGUAUUUUGAACAAUUUUGGCUGUUCUAAUUUACCAUUGAACUUGAAUUGGUUGAUGGUGCUAAAAUUUCUUGUAGAUUUGAACAAGAUACUUAAAUGAGCUUACAUUUCUUCAAAUUGUGAAUGGUUUAUGGAUGGUAGUACACAAUUCUUACAAUGAGGUGGAUGCUUGGUAAAGGUAGUUAUUUGGAUAUGAAAAUGAUAAUAAUGCAUAAUGUUUUCGUCCAAAAAGGUGAUAGUAGUAAUUAUUUUUUUGUUAAAUUUGGUUCGUGAUGAAAUGUAGUACUUAGUUUGCAUUAAUUAUGGUUGAUUCCAUCCAAAUUUGAGCUUGUUUGUAUGUAAUUUGCAGGUUGAUGGUGCUAAAAUUUCUUGUAGAUUUGAACAAGAUACUUAAAUGAGCUUACAUUUCUUCAAAUUGUGAAUGGUUUAUGGAUGCAUCAAAGGGAAUACCCACAACAAUACAUCAAGAUAUUACCUGAAAUACACUAAUAAGCAAACACUAUUUGGUUGGAAGAUAGAAAAAUCAAUUCCAAGUGCAGUACAUAAGUCCCGAUUGGCCUUUAUAUUAAGAAACUCAAUUGCAGAACUAUGUUAACAAAAUGGCACUUCUCACAUGUGCAGAAACAUCUCAUCAGAGCUCAACCUAAGCUUUUGCCUUUCUUGGAUUUCUUCUGGAGUUGGAAGCAAAAAUGGCCACCUGUGAAGAACAACUGGUGAGACAAAACGUGGUUAAAGUUUUGCCCAACACAAGGAUUCUCAAAUAUUAGAUUCUAAGCACCUGCUUGAAAUAGUGUCUUAUCGUAUUUUGGCAGCAAGUCUUGAUCAAAGCAUGUAAGCAGUGAAGCAAAUCAGAUGGUAGAUUGUUUAGCUAAUGUAUAGGAUGCUAACAACAAGAUAUCUUUUAUUAUGAUGUUAUGUCCCACCAUCUUUUAGUUGCAAGAUGACUGUUUGG
This is a non-coding RNA of Coffea arabica (coffee), 1256 nucleotides long. NCBI's taxonomy places the organism in Eukaryota, Viridiplantae, Streptophyta, Magnoliopsida, Gentianales, Rubiaceae. The record is from RefSeq and is a predicted model, not a curated record.